RNAcentral lists this long non-coding RNA (209 nucleotides) under Capsicum annuum. RNAcentral describes it as "long non-coding RNA (CANN_LNC006219)". Lineage: Eukaryota; Viridiplantae; Streptophyta; Magnoliopsida; Solanales; Solanaceae. The record is from RNAcentral.
AAUUUCAAACAUUAACUUAUCAAAGUAAUCAACUUCAUUAUCUUCUUCUAUUACUUUUGAUGAUUUUUUUUCAACUUUAUCAAAUCAGAUUUUUUUGAUUUCCAUUAUUGCAUGUCUCUAGUUCUUAAAAUUGUAACACCCCGUAUUCAAGUACACGUAUUGGCGUAUUCAAGUACGUGUAUUGGUCUUAUUUAUAUGGAAUUAAUUUU